GUGUAAACUGCUUUUAUACGGGAAGAAACCCACCUACGUGUAGGUGGCUGACGGUACCGUAAGAAUAAGGACCGGCUAACUCCGUGCCAGCAGCCGCGGUAAUACGGAGGGUCCGAGCGUUAUCCGGAAUCAUUGGGUUUAAAGGGUCCGUAGGCGGGCCUGUAAGUCAGGGGUGAAAGUUUGUGGCUCAACCAUAAAAUUGCCUUUGAUACUGCAGGUCUUGAGUCAUGGUGGGGUUGCCGGAACAUGUGGUGUAGCGGUGAAAUGCAUAGAUAUCACAUAGAACACCGAUCGCGAAGGCAGGUGACCAACCAUGUACUGACGCUGAUGGACGAAAGCGUGGGUAGCGAACGGGAUUAGAUACCCCGGUAGUCCACGCCGUAAACGAUGGAUACUAGCUGUGGGGACAUUGUCUCCGUGGCCAAGCGAAAGUGAUAAGUAUCCCACCUGGGGAGUACGACCGCAAGGUUGAAACUCAAAGGAAUUGACGGGGGCCCGCACAAGCGGUGGAGCAUGUGGUUUAAUUCGAUGAUACGCGAGGAACCUUACCAGGGCUUAAAUGCAGGCUGCAUGGGGUGGAGACAUCCCUUUCUUCGGACCGCCUGCAAGGUGCUGCAUGGUUGUCGUCAGCUCGUGCCGUGAGGUGUCAGGUUAAGUCCUAUAACGAGCGCAACCCCUACCGUUAGUUGCCAGCGAGUCAAGUCGGGGACUCUAACGGGACUGCCGGUGCAAACCGUGAGGAAGGUGGGGACGACGUCAAAUCAUCACGGCCCUUACGUCCUGGGCCACACACGUGCUACAAUGGCCGGUACAGAGGGAAGCCACCCCGCAAGGGGGCGCGGAUCUAUAAAACCGGUCACAGUUCGGAUCGGGGUCUGCAACUCGACCCCGUGAAGCUGGAAUCGCUAGUAAUCGGAUAUCAGCCAUGAUCCGGUGAAUACGUUCCCGGGCCUUGUACACACCGCCCGUCAAGCCAUGGAAGCCGGGAGUGCCUGAAGUCCGUCACCGCAAGGAGCGUCCUAGUCAAAAAUC
This 1032-nucleotide ribosomal RNA is filed under the name Allomuricauda sp. RNAcentral describes it as "bacterial SSU rRNA". It matches the Rfam family "Bacterial small subunit ribosomal RNA", at positions 423 to 1469 of the family's 1533-position model. The record is from RNAcentral. Lineage: Bacteria; Pseudomonadati; Bacteroidota; Flavobacteriia; Flavobacteriales; Flavobacteriaceae.